GAUGAACGCUGGCGGCGUGCCUAAUACAUGCAAGUCGAACGCUGGAGAUCUAGCUUGCUAGAUCGAAGGAGUGGCGAACGGGUGAGUAAUACAUAAGCAACCUACCCACGAAGACUGGGAUAAUCUCUGGAAACGGGGACUAAUACCGGAUAGGUAAUCGGAAGGCAUCUUCUGGUUAUUAAAGGUUACAAACACUGGUGGAUGGGCUUAUGGCGCAUUAGUUAGUUGGUGAGGUAACGGCCCACCAAGACGAUGAUGCGUAGCCGGCCUGAGAGGGUGAACGGCCACAUUGGGACUGAGACACGGCCCAGACUCCUACGGGAGGCAGCAGUAGGGAAUUUUCGGCAAUGGGGGCAACCCUGACCGAGCAACGCCGCGUGAGUGAAGACGGCCUUCGGGUUGUAAAGCUCUGUUGUAAGGGAAGAACGGUAGAUAGAGAAUAUCUAAGUGACGGUACCUUACCAGAAAGCCACGGCUAACUACGU
This 485-nucleotide ribosomal RNA is filed under the name uncultured bacterium. RNAcentral describes it as "partial 16S ribosomal RNA". It matches the Rfam family "Bacterial small subunit ribosomal RNA", at positions 28 to 506 of the family's 1533-position model. The record is from RNAcentral.